RNAcentral lists this ribosomal RNA (253 nucleotides) under uncultured bacterium. RNAcentral describes it as "partial 16S ribosomal RNA". It matches the Rfam family "Bacterial small subunit ribosomal RNA", at positions 524 to 776 of the family's 1533-position model. The record is from RNAcentral.
UACGUAGGGUGCAAGCGUUAAUCGGAAUUACUGGGCGUAAAGCGUGCGCAGGCGGUUUUGUAAGUCUGAUGUGAAAUCCCCGGGCUCAACCUGGGAAUUGCAUUGGAGACUGCAAGGCUAGAAUCUGGCAGAGGGGGGUAGAAUUCCACGUGUAGCAGUGAAAUGCGUAGAGAUGUGGAGGAACACCAAUGGCGAAGGCAGCCCCCUGGGUCAAGAUUGACGCUCAUGCACGAAAGCGUGGGGAGCAAACAGG